This 104-nucleotide transfer RNA is filed under the name Promethearchaeota archaeon. RNAcentral's name for it is "Candidatus Lokiarchaeota archaeon (microbial mat metagenome) tRNA-Val". It matches the Rfam family "tRNA". From Rfam's summary of the family: Transfer RNA (tRNA) molecules are approximately 80 nucleotides in length. Their secondary structure includes four short double-helical elements and three loops (D, anti-codon, and T loops). Further hydrogen bonds mediate the characteristic L-shaped molecular structure. tRNAs have two regions of fundamental functional importance: the anti-codon, which is responsible for specific mRNA codon recognition, and the 3' end, to which the tRNAs corresponding amino acid is attached (by aminoacyl-tRNA synthetases). tRNAs cope with the degeneracy of the genetic code in two manners: having more than one tRNA (with a specific anti-codon) for a particular amino acid; and 'wobble' base-pairing, i.e. permitting non-standard base-pairing at the 3rd anti-codon position. Lineage: Archaea; Promethearchaeati; Promethearchaeota. The record is from RNAcentral.
GGGUUCGUGAUCUAGAGCAAGUUAUUACCACAUAUCUUGUGGACAUUGGUUAAGAUGCCGCCUUGACGUGGCGGAUGUCGCAGGUUCAAAUCCUGCCGGACCCA